This 185-nucleotide ribosomal RNA is filed under the name uncultured bacterium. Its description in RNAcentral is "partial 16S ribosomal RNA". It matches the Rfam family "Bacterial small subunit ribosomal RNA", at positions 1316 to 1500 of the family's 1533-position model. The record is from RNAcentral.
CUGCGUGAAGUUGGAAUCGCUAGUAAUCGCGGAUCAGAAUGCUGCGGUGAAUACGUUCCCGGGUCUUGUACACACCGCCCGUCACACCAUGGGAGUCGGAAAUGCCCGAAGCCAGUGACCCAACCUUAAGGAGGGAGCUGUCGAAGGUGGAGCCGGUAACUGGGGUGAAGUCGUAACAAGGUAAC